Molecule: ribosomal RNA, 425 nt
Filed under: uncultured bacterium
Lineage: Bacteria
Description: bacterial SSU rRNA
Rfam family: Bacterial small subunit ribosomal RNA
Source: RNAcentral
GUGGGGAAUCUUGCGCAAUGGGCGAAAGCCUGACGCAGCCAUGCCGCGUGAAUGAUGAAGGUCUUAGGAUUCUAAAAUUCUUUCACCGGGGACGAUAAUGACAGUACCCGGAGAAGAAGCCCCGGCUAACUUCGUGCCAGCAGCCGCGGUAAUACGAAGGGGGCUAGCGUUGCUCGGACUUACUGGGCGUCAAGGGCGCGUAGGCGGACAGGUUAGUCAGAGGUGAACGCCCAGGGCUCAACCUUGGAAUUGCCUUUGAUACUGGCUGUCUUGAGUACGGGGGAGGUGAGUGGAACUCCGAGUGUAGAGGUGAAAUUCGUAGAUAUUCGGAAGAACACCAGUGGCGAAGGCGACUCACUGGCCCGUUACGGACGCUGAGGCGCGAAAGCGUGGGGAGCAAACAGGAUUAGAAACCCGAGUAGUCC